AAUUAGUAGUCCAAUAUUAAAAAAUAAUUUUGGCUGCGCGUGCGACUGCCGGCGCGUCUUUCACUGGAGUGGUGGCGCACGAGUGGUGGCUUGCAAAACCCCAAGGGUCAAGUUCAUAGUCGCCGAUUCAAGGACACGAGCCAAACUAUGACAAAACUUGGUUAACUGCAAAAUGAAGAAUAGACACAAAUAAAGCUAAACGAUUGAUGGAUAUGAUCGAGUAACAAUUUCGAGAGAUGGCAAAAUUGAUUUAUGGAUAUGCGAUACACGAGAUCACAGAUUGGUGUCCAAAAGAUUGAACGAUUCAGUUGUUAAAUUGCUACAGAUAGAAGAUAGAUGCGUACACUACGCAUGGAUGAUGACAUCAAAAUCUCCUGAGACCUUUGACGUAUAAUAAAUGAAUAGAAUUUUUUAUUCGAGAUCAUGAUGUUGUCGGAGUAUUUUGACACCGCUUUCUCAAUAUUACUUCAAGGUUUUCCUCUAAUUCAACUUCUGUUUUGACCACAUUUGAGAUAAAACUGAUAAUUAUAAAAUUGUGCACGGAAAAUAGGUAUUAGCAGGAAGUAUGGUAGACGUGAAGUGUACUUUACAGCGUCAGUAUGUAAGUAAAGUACUUACCCUAGACGACAACUUCCCAAAACGUCGAUUUACAAACACAUUUAACGUAUAUCAGUGAAAAGUUUUAAUUUUUUAAAAUUAAACAAUCUAUAAAUAGCUAAACGAUUCACAGAUAAACUAGAUACGAAACUCGCACACGCAUUUCGUAAUUAAUUUAGUGCAGACGUGGGUAACGGUCGGACCAAAAUGGUCUUUUCUUUGCGUCCAGAUUCAGUCCAAUGAAUUUAUAGUCCUGAGCAGAAGAGGGUCAAUCUUUAGGGUAUGUUUUACGUACUUUUAUAGAUUGUUUAGAAUCUUUAAUGAAAUUAUGCGAAAUCGUGUGCGAAAACGAUCAAUUUUAAAGGCUAAAAAGUACGCGUAAGACUUCUUUCUUUCUUCACAUCCUCAUCGACACUGUAAAAGACUUUAAAUGAUAAGACCGUUGCCCAAACAUAAUUUAUCACCAUCACGUUUUGUCCAGCGUGGUAGUCGGACGCACAUCGAUUCGUGCGGUCAAACAACUAAUGAUUAGGGUCAGAAUGAUAACAGUCUGUUUUGUUUACCGGACCAGUACCAAUAGACG
Molecule: long non-coding RNA, 1180 nt
Organism: Plodia interpunctella (Indianmeal moth)
Lineage: Eukaryota; Metazoa; Arthropoda; Insecta; Lepidoptera; Pyralidae
Exons: 3
Source: RefSeq, a predicted model, not a curated record